GAACGCUGGCGGCGUGCCUAACACAUGCAAGUCGAGCGGAGAUAAGUGAAGCCUAGCGAUUCUUAUCUAGCGGCGGAUGGGUGAGUAACAACGUGGGUAACCUGCCCUGUACUGGGGAAUAACAGCUGGAAACGGCUGUUAAUGCCGCAUAUGCGCACGGAGCCGCAUGACUCCGGGCGGAAAGAUUUAUCGGUACAGGAUGGGCCCGCGCCGGAUUAACUAGUUGGCGGGGUAACGGCCCACCAAGGUGAUGAUCCGUAGCCGACCUGAGAGGGUGACCGGCCACAUUGGGACUGAGACACGGCCCAAACUCCUACGGGAGGCAGCAGUGGGGGAUAUUGCACAAUGGGGGAAACCCUGAUUGCAGCGACGCCGCGUGAAGGAUGACGUAUUUCGGUAUGUAAACUUCUAUCAGCGGGGAAGAAGAUGACGGUACCCGACUAAGAAGCCCCGGCUAACUACGUGCCAGCAGCCGC
This 476-nucleotide ribosomal RNA is filed under the name uncultured bacterium. RNAcentral describes it as "bacterial SSU rRNA". It matches the Rfam family "Bacterial small subunit ribosomal RNA", at positions 31 to 518 of the family's 1533-position model. The record is from RNAcentral.